GCUCCUGAAUUCAGCGGCGGACGGGUGAGUAAUGCCUAGGAAUCUGCCUGGUAGUGGGGGACAACGUUUCGAAAGGAACGCUAAUACCGCAUACGUCCUACGGGAGAAAGCAGGGGACCUUCGGGCCUUGCGCUAUCAGAUGAGCCUAGGUCGGAUUAGCUAGUUGGUGAGGUAAUGGCUCACCAAGGCGACGAUCCGUAACUGGUCUGAGAGGAUGAUCAGUCACACUGGAACUGAGACACGGUCCAGACUCCUACGGGAGGCAGCAGUGGGGAAUAUUGGACAAUGGGCGAAAGCCUGAUCCAGCCAUGCCGCGUGUGUGAAGAAGGUCUUCGGAUUGUAAAGCACUUUAAGUUGGGAGGAAGGGCAUUAACCUAAUACGUUAGUGUUUUGACGUUACCGACAGAAUAAGCACCGGCUAACUCUGUGCCAGCAGCCGCGGUAAUACAGAGGGUGCAAGCGUUAAUCGGAAUUACUGGGCGUAAAGCGCGCGUAGGUGGUUUGUUAAGUUGGAUGUGAAAGCCCCGGGCUCAACCUGGGAACUGCAUUCAAAACUGACAAGCUAGAGUAUGGUAGAGGGUGGUGGAAUUUCCUGUGUAGCGGUGAAAUGCGUAGAUAUAGGAAGGAACACCAGUGGCGAAGGCGACCACCUGGACUGAUACUGACACUGA
This 671-nucleotide ribosomal RNA is filed under the name Pseudomonas sp. SA004. RNAcentral's name for it is "bacterial SSU rRNA". It matches the Rfam family "Bacterial small subunit ribosomal RNA", at positions 82 to 749 of the family's 1533-position model. Lineage: Bacteria; Pseudomonadati; Pseudomonadota; Gammaproteobacteria; Pseudomonadales; Pseudomonadaceae. The record is from RNAcentral.